UGGGGAAUAUUGCACAAUGGGCGCAAGCCUGAUGCAGCCAUGCCGCGUGUAUGAAGAAGGCCUUCGGGUUGUAAAGUACUUUUAGCGGGGAGGAAGGGAGUAAAGUUAAUACCUUUGCUCAUUGACGUUACCCGCAGAAGAAGCACCGGCUAACUCCGUGCCAGCAGCCGCGGUAAUACGGAGGGUGCAAGCGUUAAUCGGAAUUACUGGGCGUAAAGCGCACGCAGGCGGUUUGUUAAGUCAGAUGUGAAAUCCCCGGGCUCAACCUGGGAACUGCAUCUGAAACUGGCAAGCUUGAGUCUCGUAGAGGGGGGUAGAAUUCCAGGUGUAGCGGUGAAAUGCGUAGAGAUCUGGAGGAAUACCGGUGGCGAAGGCGGCCCCCUGGACGAAGACUGACGCUCAGGUGCGAAAGCGUGGGGAGCAAACAGG
Molecule: ribosomal RNA, 429 nt
Filed under: Chloroflexota bacterium
Lineage: Bacteria; Bacillati; Chloroflexota
Description: Chloroflexi bacterium partial 16S ribosomal RNA
Rfam family: Bacterial small subunit ribosomal RNA
Source: RNAcentral